This 246-nucleotide ribosomal RNA is filed under the name uncultured bacterium. RNAcentral's name for it is "partial 16S ribosomal RNA". It matches the Rfam family "Bacterial small subunit ribosomal RNA", at positions 93 to 339 of the family's 1533-position model. The record is from RNAcentral.
UAGUGGCGCACGGGUGAGUAACACGUGGAUAAUCUGCCUUUUAGUGGGGAAUAACUAGUCGAAAGGCUAGAUAAUACCGCAUGAGACCACAGCAUCUUCGGGUGCAGGGGUCAAAGAUUUAUCGCUAAAAGAUGAGUCCGCGUCCGAUUAGCUAGUUGGUGGGGUAAUGGCCUACCAAGGCGACGAUCGGUAGCUGGUCUGAGAGGAUGAUCAGCCACACUGGAACUGAGACACGGUCCAGACUCC